RNAcentral lists this ribosomal RNA (421 nucleotides) under uncultured bacterium. Its description in RNAcentral is "partial 16S ribosomal RNA". It matches the Rfam family "Bacterial small subunit ribosomal RNA", at positions 360 to 773 of the family's 1533-position model. The record is from RNAcentral.
AAUAUUGGACAAUGGGGGCAACCCUGAUCCAGCCAUGCCGUGUGUGUGAAGAAGGUCUUCGGAUUGUAAAGCACUUUAAGUUGGGUGGAAGGGCUUUAGGUUAAUACCCUGAAGUUUUGACGUUACCAACAGAAUAAGCACCGGCUAACUCUGUGCCAGCCGCCGCGGUACUACAGAGGGUGCAAGCGUUAAUAGGAAUUACUGGGCGUAAAGCGCGAGGAGGUUGUUCAGUAAGAUGGUUGUGAAAUCCCCGGGCUUAACCUGGGAACUGCUUUCAUAAAUGCUGAGCUAGAGUACGGUAGAGGGUAGUGGAAUUUCCUGUGUAGCGGUGAAAUGCGUAGAUAUAGGAAGGAACACCAGUGGCGAAGGCGACUACCUGGACUGAUACUGACACUGAGGUGCGAAAGCGUGGGGAGCAAAC